GCCAGCAUGGUAUAGUGGUUUGAGCAUUGGACUGUGACUCUGAAGACCAGGGUUUGAAUCCCAGCUCAGCCA
This is a non-coding RNA of Phrynosoma platyrhinos (Desert horned lizard), 72 nucleotides long. NCBI's taxonomy places the organism in Eukaryota, Metazoa, Chordata, Lepidosauria, Squamata, Phrynosomatidae. The record is from the annotation of a GenBank genome assembly.